RNAcentral lists this ribosomal RNA (428 nucleotides) under Actinomycetes bacterium. RNAcentral describes it as "Actinobacteria bacterium partial 16S ribosomal RNA". It matches the Rfam family "Bacterial small subunit ribosomal RNA", at positions 355 to 776 of the family's 1533-position model. Lineage: Bacteria; Bacillati; Actinomycetota; Actinomycetes. The record is from RNAcentral.
UAGGGAAUCUUCCGCAAUGGGCGAAAGCUUGACGGAGCAACGCCGCGUGAGUGAUGAAGGUCUUCGGAUCGUAAAACUCUGUUAUUAGGGAAGAACAAAUGUGUAAGUAACUAUGCACGUCUUGACGGUACCUAACCAGAAAGCCACGGCUAACUACGUGCCAGCAGCCGCGGUAAUACGUAGGUGGCAAGCGUUAUCCGGAAUUAUUGGGCGUAAAGCGCGCGUAGGUGGUUUUUUAAGUCUGAUGUGAAAGCCCACGGCUCAACCGUGGAGGGUCAUUGGAAACUGGAAAACUUGAGUGCAGAAGAGGAAAGUGGAAUUCCGAGUGUAGCGGUGAAAUGCGCAGAGAUAUGGAGGAAAACCAGUGGCGAAGGCGACUUUCUGGUCUGUAACUGACGCUGAUGUGCGAAAGCGUGGGAUCAAACAGG